This 270-nucleotide long non-coding RNA is filed under the name Capsella rubella. RNAcentral describes it as "long non-coding RNA (CRUB_LNC001277)". Lineage: Eukaryota; Viridiplantae; Streptophyta; Magnoliopsida; Brassicales; Brassicaceae. The record is from RNAcentral.
AACUUACAUGUGAACUUUGAAAUGAAUAUUGCAAUAUAUUUUUUUGGUUAAAUUUUGUAUUUUUCAUACGUCUAAGCAAAGUUUAGUUUAAAUUAAGAUGGAUCAAAUAGCCAAUUGGCUUGUUAGCAUAUAAGUACAUACUAUAAAGUAAAAGAAUAAUAGUAUCGAUUAAAAAAAAAAAGAUUACAAAUACCAAGAAAACAAGAUAUCCGCAUCCCAUCGACUCUUAAUGCGCACAAAAGACAAAUGUACCAAACAACUAAUCCUGAC